GCAAGUCGAGCGGACCAAUGAAGAGCUUGCUCUUCGGCGGUUAGCGGCGGACGGGUGAGUAACACGUAGGCAACCUGCCUGUACGACUGGGAUAACUCCGGGAAACCGGAGCUAAUACCGGAUACUUCUUUCAGACCGCAUGGUCUGAAAGGGAAAGACCUUUGGUCACGUACAGAUGGGCCUGCGGCGCAUUAGCUAGUUGGUGGGGUAACGGCCUACCAAGGCGACGAUGCGUAGCCGACCUGAGAGGGUGAUCGGCCACACUGGGACUGAGACACGGCCCAGACUCCUACGGGAGGCAGCAGUAGGGAAUCUUCCGCAAUGGACGAAAGUCUGACGGAGCAACGCCGCGUGAACGAUGAAGGUUUUCGGAUCGUAAAGUUCUGUUGUUAGGGAAGAACCGCCGGGAUGACCUCCCGGUCUGACGGUACCUAACGAGAAAGCCCCGGCUAACUACGUGCCAGCAGCCGCGGUAAUACGUAGGGGGCAAGCGUUGUCCGGAAUUAUUGGGCGUAAAGCGCGCGCAGGCGGCUUCUUAAGUCAGGUGUGAAAGCCCACGGCUCACCCGUGGAGGGCCACUUGAAACUGGGAAGCUUGAGUGCAGGAGAGGAGAGCGGAAUUCCACGUGUAGCGGUGAAAUGCGUAGAGAUGUGGAGGAACACCCGUGGCGAAAGCGGCUCUCUGGCCUGUAACUGACGCUGAGCGCGAAAGCGUGGGGAGCGAACAGGAUUAGAUACCCUGGUAGUCCACGCCGUAAACGUUGAGUGCUAGGUGUUGGGGACUCCAUCCUCAGUUGCCGCAGCUAACGCAAUAAGCACUCCGCCUGGGGGAGUACGCCGCAGCUGAACUCAAAGGAAUUGACGGGACCCGCACAGCGGUGGACCAUGGUGGAUUUAAUCGAGCAACGC
RNAcentral lists this ribosomal RNA (908 nucleotides) under Aneurinibacillus sp. Its description in RNAcentral is "bacterial SSU rRNA". It matches the Rfam family "Bacterial small subunit ribosomal RNA", at positions 57 to 962 of the family's 1533-position model. The record is from RNAcentral. Lineage: Bacteria; Bacillati; Bacillota; Bacilli; Caryophanales; Paenibacillaceae.